RNAcentral lists this microRNA precursor (62 nucleotides) under Schistosoma mattheei. Its description in RNAcentral is "mir-3492 microRNA precursor family". It matches the Rfam family "mir-3492 microRNA precursor family", at positions 1 to 63 of the family's 79-position model. The record is from Rfam by way of RNAcentral. Lineage: Eukaryota; Metazoa; Platyhelminthes; Trematoda; Strigeidida; Schistosomatidae.
AGCCUUCUGUAUCCGUGCUGAGAUUUCGUCACACACCAGACCACAAGGGCUGAUGAGACUUC